This 308-nucleotide long non-coding RNA is filed under the name Elaeis guineensis (African oil palm). Its description in RNAcentral is "long non-coding RNA (EGUI_LNC052092)". The record is from RNAcentral. Lineage: Eukaryota; Viridiplantae; Streptophyta; Magnoliopsida; Arecales; Arecaceae.
AAAGAAUCGAGCCUUUGACUUUGCUCAUGUUAGGGCGAAGUUCUCCUUCUGUCCCUAACAUGGCCUUGGGGGCACUUAAGGGCCGUUAUAUGGGCCUCUCCCCUGAUCUGAUCUUAAAAUAAUCGGACUUUCAUUUUGCUCAUGUCAGGACGAGGUUCUCCUCCUGUUCCUAACAUGACCUUAUUUCGAUUGUUUAAAGGAGUUAUCCCCAGUCGUAACAAGUCCAUGCCAAAAGGGAAAGACAUGUAAAGUCGAAAGGAAUUUUGAUUCAAAGCAAAGUCGUUAGUAGUAUAUUUACAGGUUUCUCG